UACGUAGGGGGCAAGCGUUGUCCGGAAUCAUUGGGCGUAAAGAGCGUGUAGGCGGUCCGGUAAGUCGGCUGUGAAAGUCCAGGGCUCAACCCUGGGAUGCCGGUCGAUACUGCCGGACUAGAGUUCGGAAGAGGCGAGUGGAAUUCCCGGUGUAGCGGUGAAAUGCGCAGAUAUCGGGAGGAACACCGAUGGCGAAGGCAGCUCGCUGGGACGUUACUGACGCUGAGACGCGAAAGCGUGGGGAGCAAACAGG
This 253-nucleotide ribosomal RNA is filed under the name uncultured bacterium. RNAcentral describes it as "partial 16S ribosomal RNA". It matches the Rfam family "Bacterial small subunit ribosomal RNA", at positions 524 to 776 of the family's 1533-position model. The record is from RNAcentral.